RNAcentral lists this non-coding RNA (23 nucleotides) under Cricetulus griseus (Chinese hamster). Lineage: Eukaryota; Metazoa; Chordata; Mammalia; Rodentia; Cricetidae. The record is from RNAcentral.
AUGGAACGGGAGAGCUGGAAAAG